Misgurnus anguillicaudatus (oriental weatherfish) is the source of this 583-nucleotide non-coding RNA. NCBI's taxonomy places the organism in Eukaryota, Metazoa, Chordata, Actinopteri, Cypriniformes, Cobitidae. The record is from RefSeq and is a predicted model, not a curated record.
AUUAAGAUUUAGCUAGAUUCAGUUAAUAUAGUCAAAGAAAUAGUUAACUAAAAAUAGCCCAUAAUGUACUCACCUUAAUGCCAUUCUAGAUGUAUAUGACUCUUUCCUCAGGUGAAUACAUCAUCAUCAUCAUCAUCAGAAAAAGCAAUCCAUUUGACUUUAGUGGGGUUAAUAGAUGUCCUCUAAAGUCAAACAAUACAUUUGUGAGAGAAAUUGUAUUUUGAGCGUAUUUAGUGUUCAAAAAUGUUAACACAUCUAAAUGGCAGCACAAUGGCUCCAUGUCAGCUUGUAAGAUGAUGAUCAUUGGUUCCUGUGUGACUUAUGACUGCGUUCAUGAGACCAAUUUUAAAUUUACAUUUAAACAUGUUUUUAUACCAUACAACAUUUUCAUGGUACUUUAAGGUAGCCUAUGUAAACAAUAAAAUACAAUGACAUAAAAAAACACUUUUACCACAGUACUAUGUUCUUAUGGUAAUACCAGGGCAUUAUUUGGCACUUGUUUGUAAAGUCUACUGACUGAUGUUCUGUAAAUGCUCUGUAAAUCUGUUGUUUGUUGUGUGGUAAUAAUGGCAGGUCAUGAAUG